RNAcentral lists this ribosomal RNA (301 nucleotides) under uncultured bacterium. Its description in RNAcentral is "partial 16S ribosomal RNA". It matches the Rfam family "Bacterial small subunit ribosomal RNA", at positions 509 to 807 of the family's 1533-position model. The record is from RNAcentral.
CAGCAGCCACGGGAAUGCGAAGGGUGCAAGCGUUAAUCGGAAUUACUGGGCGUAAAGCGUGCGUAGGCGGUGAGUUAAGUCUGUUGUGAAAGCCCUGGGCUCAGCCUGGGAAUUGCAGUGGAUACUGGGUCACUAGAGUGUGGUAGAGGAUAGUGGAAUUUCCGGUGUAGCAGUGAAAUGCGUAGAGAUCGGAAGGAACAUCUGUGGCGAAGGCGACUAUCUGGGCCAACACUGACACUGAGGCACGAAAGCGUGGGGAGCAAACAGGAUUAGAUACCCGAGUAGUCCCUGUCUCUUAUAC